This 38029-nucleotide long non-coding RNA is filed under the name Ananas comosus (pineapple). RNAcentral describes it as "long non-coding RNA (ACOM_LNC007645)". Lineage: Eukaryota; Viridiplantae; Streptophyta; Magnoliopsida; Poales; Bromeliaceae. The record is from RNAcentral.
AGUUUGAAAUUUAAAAUUUAAAAUUUGAAAUUUAAAAUUUUAAAUUUUAAAUUUCAAAAUUUAAAAUUUAAAAUUUAAAAUUUAAAAUUUUAAUUGUAUGUUGAAAUUUAAAAUCUAUGUUGAAAUUUAAAAUUUUAUGUUGAAAUUUAUAAGUUAGAACUUGAUGCAAUUUUUCGAAUACGGGAGCUCAAAAAUAAUGGAAUUUUUCUUCCUUUGGUUAGAGUGGAUUAUACUUUUACCCCAUUUUUUGGAGUAUAGUUUAACUAUACUUCAAAAAUUACGUUACUUUUUUUUUUUCUUCCAAAUGCUUCAUAGGAUAUUUUUCCUACCGUCUUAAACUAUGCUACGUUUUCAGAAUUCUUCGGUGGUACCGCAAAAAAUAUAUCGUAACUGACUCAUCGCAAUAUGUGGAACGCAAUAUUACGUAUGAAAAUAAAUAAUAUAUUUUUUUAACGUACUUUCUCACUGUACGUAACGCAAUCUUUCCGUAAUUCUAAACGAAACGAAGCCUAAAACUCGUACCUAACUAAGUAUGCAUAGAACCAAGAAUCGUCUAGAUGGGAGGAGUCCGUAUGUAGAAGACAUAUCAAAUCAAACUUGACCACCGACCUCCUUCUGGAUCAAUCGGUCUAAAAAUAGCCUUAAUAUUCUAGUUCGUACAUAUGACCAAGAGAUCAUCAAAAACGCAUUCAAUGCGCGGAUAAAAGGAAUUAAUGCAUGAGAACUCAACCGAGAACAACUUAGAAGCUUAGAACCGAGCGGAUUAAGAGUAUAUUCUGAUACCAUAUUAUUAAAAUAUCGAUAGGAUAGAUAACUGUUAUAUAUAAAAAUACAAAAAGAUAUAAAUAUUAUUUUCUUAUAAGUUUAAGGUUGCAGAGAAUAAUAUUUUUUAUAUAUAAUUUAGCACGUUACAAAAACAGAAGGUUCUAGAUUCGAGUCAUGUCCGAUUCCUAGCAUAAUUGAUUCUCUCCUACUUAAUUAAAGCCCAUAUCAUAGGUAGGAAUGUCAAUGGAUACGAAUACCAGAAAUUUUAUUCGAAUUCGAAUCCGAACGGCGCGGAUUUUUCAAAUACUGAAUAAAUAUGGAUAUCAAAAAUAAAAAUCCAACGGAUGUGGAUUCGAAUAUGAUUUUGACUUUACCGGAUCCGAACCUAAACCUGACCCGAACCUAAAUUUAUUUUACAUUAUAUAUAAUAUGAAUAUAAAAAUUUGACGUUAUAUUUGAAUUUAUAUUUUAAAAAAUUAGAUUUAAUGUAAUAUAUUUUGAAAUAUUGAAAAGAGGAAUAAUUAUUUUGGGUUCGGAUUCGGGUUUGGGUUUCGGAUUUUUGGUCGAAUUCGGGUUUUGAUAUAAAUUUUUAAAAUCGGUCGGGUUCGGAUUUUUAAAAAUUCGUCUCGAAUCUGACCCGUCGACAUCUCUAGUCAUAAAUCUAUCUACAAAUUUCGAGCCCAGAUAUAAAAAACAAAAAUUAUAAAUAUAAAAAUAUAAAAAAUAUUAUUCUUUAUAAACUUAAAUUUUUUAAAAAACAACAUAAAUAAUAGCAAAAUAUAUGAGCCCCUCCUUUCAACGAAGGUACAAAAACCGAAGACACGCUCCAACGUGUUCCAUGCACAAGGACAGGAGCAUGGGCCACGAGAUGCUCCAUUAAUAACCCUCAAAUUAUCCUUAACUUUAAAAAUGUUAAUUAAUUUGUACAUUUUUUUGUUGGCAUCUCUUUGGUGUUCUCUAUACAUUUAUUUAUGUUUAUAUGACAGCUAAAUGAAGUGGUUGUGGACUUUGUACAGUGUCAAUUGUCCUUUUUGUAUGGGCCAAGCACUGCUGUUUGUUUGACUUUUCCAUCUUAAUAUAAUUUUGAUCCCAUAGUUUUUAUUUUAUUUAUAUUUUAUUUCAUCUUUGGCUUUGUAUAGCUUGGCUGUUCUAGUUCAGUUAGGAGUGGCAAUCCAGCUCGCUGUUUGUGAGCCCGCUCGUGUUCGGCUCGAAAUAUGCUCAAGAUCGGCUCGCUCGUUUAAUAGACGAGCCGAACAUGAGCUGGGGUCAGCUCGCUCGUGUUCGGCUCGAUAACAGCUCGAAUACAUAUAUUUUAUAUUUGUAUAAUUUAUUUAAUUUAUAUUUUUGUAUAUAAAUAAAUAAUUAUAUAUAAUAUAUAUUUUUAUUAUUUAAAUUUUAGCAAAAUAAAAAUAUAAAUGCGAGCUUAAUUAUAAAAAGACUCAUUUAUAUGUAAAGUUUCAACUAUUAGAUCAAAGUCUAAUGGAUAAGAUUUUAUAAAUUUAUUUUUUAUAUAUAUUUAUUCUAAAUAUUUUUUAAUUUAUUGUUCGUUGGCCAGCUCGUGAGCCAGCUCUGUGUUCGGCUCGUUAAUAAACGAGCCGAACACGAGCUGAAUUUUUCGGCUCGAAUCUUUAACGAGCCAGCUCGUGUUCGGCUCGUUUAAUAAACGAGCCGAACAUGAGCCGACCCAGCUCGCUCGUGUUUGGCUCGUUUACACCCCUAAGUUCAGUAGAAGUUGAUCCAUGGAUGUGGCUUUUAUUGUGUUUUAAAGAAGCUUAAUUAAUUAGAGCUUGGGAUUGUUAUGUGCGCAGUAAUCACUAUAGACAGUAUUUUUUUUUUUUUUUUUUUUGAGAGAAAGAUAGCACGCUAUCCGCUUCGUUUAUUUUAUUUAAAAAUAAACUUAGCUGGAAAUGUGAAUCAACUAGGAUUCGAACUUAGGUCUCGGAUACCAACCACCGAGCCCUUUGCCACUUGCUCUAGAGACAGAUAUUAAUUUGAGAUGCUUUACUAGACUCAAUUUGAUAUGUUUUAAUACUUUACGCUAAAAUAUUUUCUAGAGGCAUAAGCCAUUGGAAAGUGAUAUUUAAAUUAAGUAACUAAGAUUUUAAGAGAAGUGAUAUUUUAGUACGACAACUUAAGCUAUCAAAAAUGAUGUUUUGAUUUUUUUUUUUUUUUCAUUCCCCAAAUUUUUUGAGGGAAAGUGUUUUAGAAUUUACAAGGACAACUUUAUUUUCAAUACAAAAAUAAACUAAAAUAAAGAAUAUCCCAUUCAAUUUACAAAGACAAUUUUAUUUUUAAUACAAAAAGAAAAAAAAAUUAAAAAAAAUUAUAUUCCGUUGCCGGGAUUUGAACCCGGGUCGUCUGGGUGAAAGCCAGAUAUCCUAACCGGACUAGACGACAACGGAUUUUGCAAAUAUAUGUAAAAUAAAUAAAUUUGUACUUAUUACGUUUUUGACAUAAUUGAUAUGUAUAAAUAGUAUCAUAGUUGUUCGUCAAUUAUUUAUUUUCAAUCGCGUUGUGAUCACUAUUUAUACUACCAAUUACUUUGCAUUUAAGGAGCGAUAGGCGAUUCCAAUUAAUCUUCAAUAUACUGUUUUAUUCAUGCACUCUUCACAAGCGUUAAAUUAGAGCUUCUAAUUGUCAUUUGCACGAACCGGUUGAGAAGAUUUAAAUCCUAAUAACUUAAAACAGUGAUUUAUCAAGCCCUUGAAAUUUUCUUUUAAGGCUCUCUUUAAGAUUGUGAGAUUGUGAGGAGAUUAUGGGCCCGUUUGGCCUAGCUUCUGGAAAAGUGAUUUCUGCAGAAUUAAUUUUAGUUUGGAAAAGUGAUUUCUGUUAAAAGCUGUAGAGCGUUUGACUGAGUCUGACCAUAAAAAUACACUACAUAUAUUAUGAUAAAUUGAUUAUAAUAUAUUUUUUUGUGAACCCAUCGAAAAAUAAAAAAGCACAGAUCUAUAAUGCUUUUGCCCUUAAUUCCGCUUUAUCUAUUAGCUUCAAUAACCACUAGCCAAUCGGAUUUGAAAGAUUUACGAAAAAUUGAGAUUGGUUUGGAAAAUCUAAUCGUGACAAACUUUCCUGAAAAAAGGGGGAAAAAAAAAGAUGUUCCCACACUGCUGUUGUUUAGGCACAAUAAACUGCAAAUUUCUAUAUGAAAUUAGUGUAAAAUUUUGGAUAACAAAUUUGUUUUCAAGAAAUGAGUUGAAAACAUAGACACCUCAAACAGUUGUUUUUUUACAUACACAAUGUAAUGUGACAACUAUUUUUAUGUUUGGUUAAUUCUUAAUCUCCGCAUUAAUUUGUUAUUACAAAUCAGAACAAAAUGCGAAACCUUGAUUAAGUAUUUGGUUAAACAUAGCUAAUAUAACACUCAUACAUUUCCCCGGCUAAAGGUUGCGGAGCCAGUAAAUGCUACAGCUUUUAGAAACCAUUAAUUAGGGAAUAGAUUACCUAUGUAUUUAACUUAAAAGUACUAAUUUGGCAUAUAUACAAAUGCUCGGUAGUUUUAUGUAACUAAUCAGUGCUGAUGGAUUGCUCCCAUGAAAAGGCGCUCCCGCCAGAUGCGGCAGAUCCCGUCUGCGGAUUGCUAACGCCUCGUGAUUUCCGAAUCUGCCGGAGCCUGAAGACAUCUUGUGGGAGCGGCCGACUCUGCACUGUUGUAGUAUCAUCUUCCUCUUGCCCUGCAGAUACGAUAAUCUCAAAAUUACAAGACGCGGUAUAAUCCAACUGCAAUCGGAUUAUAACCAAAUAUAAACAUUAACACAAUCACACUUCAAUGAACUAAAUGAAUUCUUGAUACUGUAAUGGUCGAAUAAUAGCCACCUAUUCACUUAUCAGUAUCCUUCGACGAGUUUUGCAAUCUUAAUCAACUAAUGACUUACAUGAUACCCAUAUGAGAGAGAGAGAGAGAGAGAGAGAGAGUACUUUCAAGAUCUUUUCUUUUGCCAAGUUGUCCAUCUCUCCGAAGUCGAUUAGCCGAUCCAUUCUGAUUCAACCGUGACCAGCUGGAGCCAGAAAUGUCGCUAGUGCUAGGGACGGGACCCGUCAAUACUUGCUGGGAGGAAGAAGCAGGUUUACCAAUGUUUCCAACCGGUAUGGAGCUCUGCAGCAAAAUAGAUAAUACUACAUCCAGAUCCGGUGAUGGCCCUGUCAUUUUAAUAUAAUAUUAGAAACAAAUUGGCUUCGGUAUUUCAAUAAUCUCUCACCCAAAUAUAAGAGAAAGAAAUGAGGAAAACAGAACCAAAUGAAUAUACAAAAACCUCAUUUAUCGCUGAACUGCUGAAAAUUUUUGGUUCUAUUAUAGUGGGCAUUUGCACAAUGAUCUCUUUGGUUACUAAGAAAUUUUACAAAGUUGUGAUGAUGAUUUCUUCGAAGCCCACCACCUAGGCUUACAUCAGCUCUAAAAAAAACAGAAAAAUUAUGAAUCAUGGGUACCUUUAACAGAAGGCAACUGGGUGAUGAAGGCAACCAAUGGAGGAGAGAGCACUUUCAAAAUCUCAUCAAUUCCCUGUGUAGUUCCAGUGCCAGCGCCAAGAAGAGCUAAAGUGGAGGUAGAACUAUUUACGCUAGAGGGCGCUGAAAACUCGGGACCUGAUAAAAGAGAUUCAAAAAUCAAAAUCAUACAUAUUAUUUCUGAGAAAUGACAAGUCCUCUGUAUUCCAAGAAAAUUGCAUAUAAAUGAUGGCAGCGAGAAGCAAUAAAAAUCUACAAGAGGAUAAGAAUGCAUGAUGACGGAAGUGGAUAUCUAUUGCAACUAGCUGAUCUACCAGAGAUACAUACCUUCUUUGCCAAGUAUUAUCCAAACAAUAAUAACUCAGAGAAGAAAUAUUUCAAGAUACAACUAUGGCUGAUAUAAUCAGGAAGAGAGAUCUGAAAUCCAGUAAGUCCAUUCAACUAAAGAGGAAGUAAAUAUAUAAUAGCUUGAGAAAUUCUGUAUUAGCCAAAAAUAAAUAAAAUAUUGGCCUACUUAGUUCAUCAACAAGGAAUACUCAAGUACAAAACAAUAUAAUUAAUUAAUUAGUGUGGCAAGGAAAAACAGAAGCAUGAAAAUAUUAAUCAUAUUGUUGACUCAUCUGAAGCUCAAAAUUAAGCGCCAGGCAUGAAAUGAUGAUAUCCACUUAACGCACAAGGCUAAAUGCAGUGAAUUGUGAUAAGCAUUAGAAUGAGGUACAUGUAUACUCAUUAGAACGAGAAACAACCUAUAUGCAGGCCCAUAACAAAAGCAUCAGCAUCUACGCAAUUUUAAAUCCAAAAGGCAGCCAAAAGCAGAGAAAGAAAUUGGCCUCAGAAUCACCAAUUCCUGCAUCACAUAUAUUAAUUGAACACAAAAAAAGAUUCAAAUUAUAAAACAUUCCACCUUUUGUCUGUCUAGGAUCAUAUACGACCAUUCGAGAAGUAUCUGGAAGAACAACUUUUGUAGAUGGUGGUGAGACCUUAUUAUUUGUUGCAAGUCCAACAGGGGCCUUCUCUGAACCUAAAGAAAACUCAUUAACAUCAUUUUAUCCAUAUCAAAUCACGGCAUAUUGAAAGAAGAAAUUACGUGUACCUAAGGCACUGCUUCCAUUUUGCAAAGUUGGUUUGUCAACUUUAUUCAUGUUCUUUGCAAGCCACUGUAAUGCCAACAUGAAAACACUCCUAUUUAGGGGCAAUACAACAAAAUAUAUAUAUAAGCUGAACGAUUUCCUAUGUUCCAUAGCCUACAGAAUCUCAUAGUUCAGAAGGCUGCGCAUAUAUGUAAUAGUUUCCUAAAGUUCUGGGUGGUUCAUGUAAGUUUGGUUCUAUUCCCAUAUCCAGUUUUCUGAAUUUUUUAGUUCAGUUCCUCCAAGAAAUCUAUUGAAUCUACCAAAUAAAUACACCAACUUAUGAAGGUUCCUCAUACAACUAUAACAACCACCAAAAUCCUUAUAACAAUAGAAGCUCUUAUGACUGUUGUAAGGAGAAAUAAAAUGGAUGGAUUGAGAACAAAGCAUAACAUCAUAUUUCUAGAAACAACCUAAUGCUACACAAAAGCUCAAUAAUGAGCAAACUAUUGAAGAUACAACUAUUUCAUUAGCAGAAAACUAUGCAAAUUCAAUUGAAACUGACAAAAUAUACAAUAUUUGGAGGCCAUGCAUACCUCUUGCUGAGCCAAAUGAUCCAAAUCUUUCGAAGAGCAUGGCCAAAGAUCCAUAAAACUAUAGCGGGAAACAACAUCAUAUAAAGUGUUUUCCAAUGCCGAUGAACCAUCCUCUGCUGUCCUAGAUAAAGCUUCCUUUCUCCUUUGUUCAACCUGUGAUAUAAAGAAUAACAUAUGAUACAUUUAAUCACCGAGAAAAAACUACAGAAAAAAUAAUACCAUAUAUUUUGUUGAAAAGAAUGAGAGUGACAAGAUCCUCAGAGUAUGAAUACUGUCUACCUGCUAAAAUAUGGAUGCAGGUGUAGGUGGUUAAAGUUGAUAGCGUAAUCAUGGAAAAAAUAGAACAGAACAUGUUAAGACAUUGUAACACAACAGAAAGUGGAACAAUGAGCAAUGCUUCCUAGGAGAUGCAUGAAAGUUACUUUCAUUGUCAGGUUAAGAAAAUCCUUAAUAUAUAGUAAGUCUUUCAAUAUUCUACGCAAGGUAACUGAUAUGGUUUCUAUCUCUUAGUACAGAAGAUAAGUACUUUUGUCAAAGCAAAAAAGAGUAUAUCAAGUCAUUCAAUUUCUCGUUUUUUGAUGAAUAACACAUACAAACACAGUGACAGGUGACUGCACAUUUUUCCAAUUUCAGAUAAGAAAAUAGUUGUUUUUUUUCCUUUCAGAAGCUUUGUAGCUGACUCAAUUUGAGCAUGGUUUAGAUAUAUGUCAAGAAGUACACCAAAAAUAUUUGAAAAACAAGCUACUUAGAAAUAGUAAGUAUUAAAAGUAAGGAGGUUGACAGAUGAAUAUUCGAGCUAAAUAAAGUUUUUGUCGAGUCUAAUAGUAAAAUAAAUUAGAUAAUAUUAAAACAACCACCUUAAACUCAGGUCCAUACAGAAAAGUAGGUAGAAGGGUAAAAGAAUGCGUUUCUUUAUUCACAAAAUGAUUCAAAAAACAUCAGCUUAAAUAAUUUCCACAAUUGAACUCUCUUUAAUUUCGAUUUGUCAUCACAACAAUAAAUAUGCUGAAACAAUGAAACAAGCUCAUACCUUCAACAUGCUUGACAAAUCACCAUAUGUCUGUUCAAACUGAGUAAAGCGUUUCCACACCUACAAGUGAAGAUCUACAUGAGAUAUCAAUGAAAUAAGCACAUGUGUGCCUGUUCUGUGUAAACGAAACAAUAAGGUCUAAGUGAUAGUUGACACCUGACAACAAUCAAUGCAUAUGUCUAGCAGAAUUCAUUCACAAACUAAAGAAUAUAUAGGCAAUAGGCAGCUUGAUUUAAAUAGCUUAAAGUACCAAUAAUAUAAAAAGAAGUUGCAUGUUCGAUUUAAAUUCCAUUUAACUGUGCCGUUUCUUCAGGGUGUAACUAAAGAACCACACAAGUUUCAUUCAACUGUUUACACCUAUACAUUUGCUGACAAAUGUAAACUAGGCAUUAAGUAAAUUCCAAGAAAUUGACUUGCCACAUCAAAUAAGAAUUAUCUUUCAAAUAGGCAGAUUUCUUUUCUUUAUGUAUCAUUAUAAGAGUCUAUUUUGUCCUCAAAAUUGUACCUAGGAAUGACAAAUUGAAAACAAAAAAAGAUAAAAUGUAGAUGCAGUGAAACACUGAACUUUGCAGGGACUGCCAAUAAGCUUUUCUUCCAAGAAGUAUAAUAAAGGGUCAUAAGGAGGGCAGCUGCAUGAUGACUUCACAAUGAGACCCCUGCUGGAGAUACUUUGGCAAUACUAGUAUGCUGAUUAUGUGGCUCAGGAGAGGACUAGCCCUAUUUAGUAAAGAAGGAUUUCUAAGUAAAUUAAAAGGAAAAUGUUAAUCUAAUCAUACCUCGACAGACUCUUCUGGGGGCAGUAUGCUGAGAGCCCGCUCAAACAGAGCACGGACAUUUCUAUCAUCAUUUAAACGGCACAAGAAAUCUGCAUAUCUGAGACCCAAAAAAAUCAUUACUUCAAAAUCUAGAUUUUACAAGUUUUAAUUUAACAAACCAUGCAAAGUCAUGAAUUUUUUAAGAAGGGAAUAAAAGCCUAUACACACCACCUAUCUACAAAUAACUGAACACAUAAGUUUGUUUCCUAGUUCACUACGCUUGGAAGUACCCACUACUGCUGCAUCAACUGUUAAGGGAGAGAAAAGCACAUACUCAAGGAUGUAUCCAGGCUCAUGCAUAAAUUUAUUUAGGCCAGCCUCAAAAACACUGUGAGCCAUCUGCAAUAUAAAAAAAUUUAUUAGUACCUCUAUAGAGUUUUUAGGGGUGGGGAAUGAGCAGAAAUAGUCCGAUUAAGUAAUCAAAUGAAAAAUUUGCAUUUGAUACUUGCCAUGUACACAAUAUUAUAACUUCUCUGACAGCACAAUGAGAAACAAAAGUGAACAUAGGUGGCAUACAAAAAAAGUGCAAUAUUAUGAAAAUUAUAAAAUAUCACUACAAAGCAAUUUUUACAAUAUCAAGAAACCAGAGAAACAAGAUUUGGCCUUUUGUGGCUUUCCGAGAUAUGAGCUUCUUGUAGCCAUGAAAUAAAGGCAGACGUGUUUGCUGAAUAACUCAAACUUCCAUUUUUGAGGACAGAAACUAACAUGAAAUUAAAACAGCGACCAAGCAUUACAUUACUACUAGCUAAUAGCUCACAAACACCUUCAAUCAGUUAAUUCUAGAAUCAGCAGGUACCUGACUACAAUGUCCACAGAUUGAAGGUGAGGUGUUAAAGACCCUACCUGCACAUAAAUAAGACGGACCUAUAAGGUCUUCGUCCACUCAAAAUAAAAACAAGUUUCUACAUUUUCUUGAACCCUAUGGGUAUACUAGAACUUUCCUAUGUUUAGCCAAAAGAGCCAAAAAUUUUCUUAUACUUCUCAACUUCAUAGGGAGGCUUCCAAUGCUCAUUCAGCUUAAGGAGCUUGGGCAUACAUAGCCAAUGCAUCCAUAUCAGACAUAAAAGUUUCAUCAUAAAGGAAAAGAAUAUUUAAAGAAAUGGCAUACUAAAAUCAUAUAUAUGUACAUCGUUGUCAACUAAUUUCACUACAUGAAUAAAUCAUGAAACUUAUAUUGGAUUCACAAGGCAAACUUGGCCAAGGGACAACAAUGGACAAAUAUAAUCAGAACAUAAAAGAUGUUUCGAUCUUUAACAACCUUUGCAUCCUUGUCGAGGCAAAAGGCCAUUGUGGCAUAAGCAACAAACACAUGAUAUGUGCAGCUUGGAGACUUCCGCGCAUCCAGGAAAUAUUUUUUAGCAGCUUCAAUGCCUUCAGUUCUCCUUAAGAACCGAAUGAACUGUAAUAUGAAAAGAUGUUACAAACAUAAAACAAAUAAUAAGAUACUCAUAUGUUAAGAUGAAGCAAGGAGACUCGCCUGAAUGUGAGUGAGCGAUGUUACAUUGACACUAUUGGCCAGAAGAGACUCAUAUAUUUUUUUCGCAGACUGCAUGAAAAUUUUCUUUAGCACGAAAUCCGCUUUUGGCAUAGGAUUUGAAUGCAAAAGAUGUUUAUGCUAAACCUGAAUUGCUCCUCGGGACUCUUCCAGUUCCGCAUAGGCAUACCUCAAUAAUUCAGAAUCUACAAAGAUUUGCACAAAUAUUUACAUUCUCAAAAAGGAAAGAGUCACAAAUUAACAAAUUCAAUACACAGGUUUUACUUGCAAAAUGAAAAAAAAUGUUAAUGAGUACACCAAGGUCAUUCCGAAAUUAAAUAUAAAAUGAAAUUCUUUCAACAUUCAAUUCCUUUUACUGCCAAACGAAAACCCCUUGUAUUAAAUUAUACCAGGUAUUCACAGAUUACGCAGAGUGCAGUCAGGUCAUCCCUUUAGGAUGUAAGAAUUUUCCACAAAGUUUAUCUUAGACAUGAAAUUGAGUCUAAUAAGAAAAUGUAAAAGAAUUGUUGGAUUUGGUCUCCUUAAGUUGAGAAUAUGCUAGCCGACACUGUUGUAGGAGUAUUUAAUACAAAAAUUAGUAAAAUACAACAUAUAUUACAAAUUGCAAUAAUCUGUUUAACAGAUUUGCUCUAAGUUGUAAUAAUCUGUUUUUACAAUUCUCCACUGAUGCAGGACAGUAUGUAUACGGCAAUUGGACAGAUUCCUAAAAUAUUUACUAAUCAUGGUUUAUGGUUUGUGGGAUAAAUAAGGUGUAAAAAGAAAUGGGAAAAGCUAAACAGGAGUGUAUUGGAGUAUAAACUGCUCUACAGAAGUUCCCAGUGGAAGAUUAAGGUAUUAUUUCAAAUACUACUAUUAGUCCAAUAAAAAGAAAUUUCUAACUCAAUUCAUUUGAAUGCCAGAGAUAUUUAGCUAAAGCUUGAGUGAGUGAUAGUAACAUAUCGAUGAAUGUUCCCAUAUUUGAUGAAAUUGUAGAAAAACUACUUGGUAUUCCAGCUUCCAAACUUAAGAAAUUUGAAAAUCUUAAAUCAUUUAAACAAAUGAAUAAUUGCGAAAUGAAUUUUCAGUUUUACGAAUAAUUACUUUUAUAGGGGAACAGCUAUCAAAUAGCAUUGAAAUUUCUGAAUCGAGUAGCAUGGCAAGAUUCAACAUUUUUCAUUGAGAUGUCUAAAGAAGACAUUGGAUCUUCAAUUAGACAAAUUUGUGUUCUGAACGUUGUACCAAUGUUAUCUUCACAAGUAGCAAAACACUAUCUUGAGGAAAUUGAAAAAAUGAAGGGUGUUGAGUAUAAAAGAUAAAAACACCAUUCUUUGACAACAUAAGCUUUCGGAGAACAAUAACUGUUUCAUAUUCUUCAACAUGGUAUCAGAGCAGGAGGUCUUAAGUUCAAAUCCCACUAGGAUCCUAGCUCCAUUUAGUUCGCUCUCAUUUAAUUUAAGCCCACAUCUUAGGCCUAUUAAAAAGUCGCAAGCCCAAAUGUGAGGGGGAAUAUUGAAUAAAGGAUAAAAACAUCGUUCUUUGACAGCUUACGCAUUUGAAGAACAACAGUUGUUUCACAUCCUUUAACAAAGGAAAAGGAGAAAGUUAAUUAGCAUUUCAUGUGAUUAUCACAAAAUAGGCCGUUGUUCAGCAAAGUUCUAUUUUGAAUUUGCUAACAUAAAUUUAUGAAUGUGCAACUUAUGCAAUUAUCCAACAAAUUUAUGUCAAUUUUGUUUAAGCAAUAUAUAUUUUAUACCGAAUGUUUACCGUAUGUAUAUGGUUGCUAGACGUGCAUCACAAUGACAUGUUGCUAGUAUAUAUUAAGUAACAUCUGAGUUUUUAAUAUUUAAAUUUAGAUUUCAAGAUGUCCAAAGUCAUACAUAAUAGGAUUAUUUUUUAUUGACGUGCUGGACGAGCACAAGAAAAUUUUUCCAUGUCAUCCACUUCCUACUUCUUGCCACAUCACCCAUAGGACAUGACUAGAUGGACCCCAUGCGGAUGACCUUCCAUCUACCCAUAACAUGGCAGACGCCCCCAACGCGCGUGACCUUCUAUCCACCUAUAACGUGACUAGUGUCCAAUAAAGAGCGUAUAAAUACUAUGGAUGACAUUAUGUACCCACUAGUGUGUUCUUGAACCCAUGUUGAUCUAAUGUGAUAUUACCCAAAAAAAAACUAGCGGCGCACAUUAGAAAAUUAUGAGUUACUCUAUUAUGCACAAAACUAAUAUGUGAUCUUUACAUGUUAAUAGGUCACAAAAAUGAAAAAUUAUUAUAACAACCAGACGCACUAGUACUAGCAACUUGUUGAACCCAUACCACCAACCAAAAUGCUAAAACUUAAUCAUAUUGCUGUGCUAGUCAAAUAUAUGGCCCUCUCAUGCUCCCAAAUUAUCCAACAUAAGAUUAUUGAGGUGUUACAAGCUCCUCCCGUUAUGCCCUAGCAUCCUAGUCAAGCCCAAUCACAAAAAUAGUCCAGAAUCACCAAGUGAAAUGAGAUUCUAAUAGUGGCAUCUAUAGGUUCAAGAGGUUGCUCACACCAAUUCUAUUGUGUAGUACUUUGUCCUGUAUAGCACUUAGCUCCAACACUUCAGGCUGAAAUUUGGUCUCUAAUACAUAUGUAAUGAUUCAGGUCACUAUCGCUAACAGCUUGUUAAGUCCAAACUACUAGUUCAAAAUGCCUAAGCCUAAUUAUUAGUACUAAUGUGCUAGUCAAAUAUACGAACCUCUCAUUCUCCCAACAAUUGGGUUAUUAGGAUUUUAUAAUUAUUGUGUAAAUUGGUUGUGUCAGUGAAUAACUCAAACCAAUUUGAAUAUGACAUGUUUCUAUUUAAAAAAGCUUGUGUUUUUUUUGGUAAAUUUCACCAUUAAUGUCUAAACACUUACUCAUAAAAAGCAAGUAUCAUUAUUUAUCAAACUAAACUUCUUGGGCUUUCAUGUAACAUAAUUACAUUGCUACUCUAUAACAUUAUGAGAACCAAACUAAAGCAGCCGUCAAACCAAAAUUUUAAGGUUCGUAGACAUAAAUAGUUUGCCCCUUCUCUUUCAAUGGAUUGGGAAGAAUUCGCAACCGUCAACUUAUUAACCUAGCAUCAAGAUGAAAUAAAACUGCCUUAGUUUUUGCAAUUUGACUUCAUAAAACCUGCAAGCGACAUAGUAAAGGUUGCCAAACUUGUAAAGGAUGUAUUUUAAAGGAAAAUCAUUAAAUUUUGCUAUUAUUUAGUGUCAACAUCAGUAAGUCUUCUGGCCCCUGCUGUUCUCAUCUCAAAGAUAAGAAUUAUUAGCUGUGACUAUUGUAGAAAUAAUUAUGGAUUUGUCAACAAGAAAAUCUCAACUGAUACAGUGCAAGUGAAGCUUAAAGUAAAAUCAUCUACCAGGAAGUGCCUUUAAAGCUCGCUGAAAUACUUUAACAGCAGAAUCCACAGAACCAGUCUUUGCAUGCCAGGUAGCAUAGUCAUACCAUAUAUCAGGGUAAUGAUAGAGAUACAUCAGGCACUGAAAAUGAACAAAGAAAAACAAAAUGGAAUUCUUAGAGGCAAUCUGUUAGUCAAAUUUAUAGAAGAGAAAUAGUCAUAAGUUAAGAGCAGACGAGUUUUAGGUUGUCUUUAAUAAACUCGAAAGAUCAGACUAACUGAUUUAGAUCGUAUACUAUAAUAGUAUUAUGAGCAGCACUCAUAGGGUCAUCCAAUGCCAAGUGUGAGCAGUCUAGGAUGACGCAUGCCACCGUGCAAUCUUAGAAAAAAUGUAUUGUCAUCUAUUUGAAAGAAUUGAGGACAAGAAUGUUAUAAAAACCUCUAAUUACUGACAUUUGACAUUGCAUCCCUCGCUUGAAGAUUGGAUGUACAAUAGAAGGUAAGAUUCUGCCAUAGACAAUCAGGCAGGUGGCACCAAGGAUGCCCAGCUAGAAAAAGACUAGGAAUACCACCUAGGCACCUAACCAGCAGUUUUUAUAACACUUCUCACUUUAUUUUUGAAAUCUUUGGAUUUCAACUUUCUGUAUUUCUUCUCCCUACUUACCUACCAUUCAACCCUGUUUGGAACACUAAAAAGACAGUAUCAGCAGCAAAUAGCAUAAACCACGGAACUCACUUUCAGACAUAUUUAGUAUUCCAGAACUUUAAAAGAACGAUAGGCUAACCCAUAGCUGAAUCCAUUUAUAAACUACAAAUCUGUACAAUAUUAAAUAUAAAAACAUCAUGGUGCAUACCUGCUCAUAGGUAAAGGUGACCCUCCUAUUAGCAGAUGUUGCAUCGAUCCUUUGUGGGUUCCCUCUGAAGAGAAAUCAUAUGAAGUAUAAGGUGGAAAACUUUAUUAUCAAAUUCAAAUGCAGAACUAAUGAAAGGAUCAGUCUGCUUUCAGUCUUCAGUAGUAGCAUAUCCUUUAAUAAGCAGCAAACGUAUAAGAAUCAGAUGUUGCAUCGAUCCUUUGUGGGUUCCCUCUGAAGAGAAAUAGUAUGAAGUAUGAGGUGGAAAACUUUUUUAUCAAAUUCAAAUGCAGAACUAAUGAAAGGAUCAGUCUGCUUUCAGUCUUCAGUAGUAGCAUAUCCUUUAAUAAGCCCCAAACAUAUAAGAAUCAAAUUAAAUAGUCUAAAAUGUCAGGGCCAAGCCUGUCUAAAGUGAGACUUUCAAGAAAGGAACAUCAAACCAACUUGACUCCACUUGUAGAGCUGGCCCAAUAUGAUACAUUUGAUAUUUUCACAUAGAGAAAAAAAUGAAGAUGAUAUUUCUAGAAAAAACUUCAGUUUCUAGAGUUCUAAUGUGUGUAAUUUCAAAGGAAGAUGGCUACCAAAUUUCACUUACUUUUCAAAGGCUAUAAGUCUUUUCCAUGCCAUGCAUUGCUGCUCUUCCUGCCCAACGCACUAAAGAGUUACCUUCUCUGAUUAAAUUGACACUACUCUACAAUUCUUUCAUAUAGAAGUAGCACAAGAUAGCCUAACAUUACAAGCCACUGGGGAAGACUAAGAUUAUAGGAUUACAAUCCAUGAAAAAAAAGGUGAGCAUAAUCAAUUAAAUCAAGCAGAACACUUUUAACUCUAGUGGUACACAGAAUUAUACAGAAACAUUAUUACUUGGAAAACGAAACAAGAGUAUAAUAGAAUGUCUGGAUAGAUAAGGUGGUUUUGUGAAUAUAAAUAAAGAAAAAAAAAUGAAGGAUAUGCUUUUCUUCUCCUAGUUUUGCAAAUUGGGCCUGUUUUUGCCACUUUGGGCUAAAUUUUUGCUUGUUGGAUAAAAAUGACUCUUCUCCCAACUAGGCCAUGAAAGAAGUGGAAGGUGGAGGGGGUUGAGGGGUGGAGACCCUGCAAAGAGCUGGGUGCACGAGGAAACAAGGCCACAGCAGUAAUAUGUAUGGUGAGAAUGGAGCAGACUAGUUUUGCAUAUCUUCAUAGAUAAGAAUGUAAGAGAGAUAUCCUAAUUUGACAGAAGUUGAAAUAGAAUAAUUGGAAAAAAAAGGAAAGAGAAAGGCAAGGCCCUGUAAUUUCAGAAUAUGGCGUAUUUGCUGAUUUAUAAAUAAUGAAAUAAUUAUCUGCAAUAAUUUAUUAACUCAUAAAUCCUUUCCUAUUUUGAUACUUCCAAACUUUAUAUGAUUUGACUUUUAUAAUGUCUAGUUAUAAAUAUAUUUUUGCAUGAGUUUCACAAGAGAUACUAGUGUACACAUGGUAAGAAUUGAGUUUUCAACCACUAAGAAAAUGAAAAAAAAUAAUAAUGUUCAAAGCUCGCCUUGGGUUCAUAGCACCCACUAUAAUGCCCACAAUCUCCCAUGCACUAUGAAUCCCCCUAGCUGCUAUGCACCCAUGAUCCACCAUGAACUUUUGAGAAAAUAGAUUUUUACAUCCCUGGGCAUUUGUUGUUCCUAUUAUGCUAUAAAUUAAGAAUGCUAUAAAUUAAGUUAAUAUGACAAAAUAAAAUGGAACUAUCCCAUAGAAACAAAUGUUGAUAAGAGGAAAAGACAAGGAAAAGAUUAUUGUAACAAGAAAAUGUACCUUGGAAGAACCAGUUGGGGGAAUGGCAAGCAUGUUCCAAUCAAUAUCAUCAAUGUAUUUCUUUCGCUCUCUAUACACAGCUUUAGCGCUAUUAAACUUUGAUUGAUACUCAGAUAAUAGACCUUUUGCCUGGAAAAAAAAGGUCAUUUUGCAAAGAAAGUGUAUUCUACAGUUAUCUUAGGCAAACAAGAACUAUUAAUCUUGACAAAUAAAAAUCUGUAAGUGCACAAGUAUUUAGUUACAGUUUCAAUGGUUGACAAUAACGAACUGUGAGGAUAGAAUCAAAUUAGCUUGAAAAUAAAUGCUUCUGAGUUAUCGUGCCAAAUAAUUACCAAUGCACGGCUAACAGAGUUCUCAAAACUCUCAUAUUCCUUCCACAGCUGUUCAACAUGAUGAGUCGGAAUGACAAUUGCUUUUUGGUAUACUUUCCGCACAGACGUCAUGCGCUGCGAUUCUAUCUGAACUGUUGUAGCCUAAAGAGGAUUUCAGAAAUAUAAAAGAAUAGAAAUAUUAGACAGGCGAAAAAAAAAUAGAUGACACAAAGAAGAAUAGAGAUUUGGAAGGCACUUAACAGACCGGCAUCGAUUUCAAGAAAGUAAUGUAUUCCAUCCAAAUGGGUCCAGAUGCAAUGUCAGAGCCUGGAGGAUUUUUAUCAUUUGUAAGGCAUUAAAAUUCACUGAGAUAGUUCAAAAAGAUUGAACAGGAACUAAUAUUAUUCACCACCUAGUCUAAUUUAUCGCCUGGUCACAAUUCAGCAUAAGGUAGAAUGGUCAUAGUACAACCUUACAAAAGCAAAGCAACUAAACAUUGUAUUAAAUCAGUAAAGAAAUUCAAACAUCCAUAAGCCUCUGCCUACCAACGUAGCUCAGCAAAAAAUCAAAAGCCUUCUUGGUUUCUUCAAGACCAUCAGUUCCCUUCUUUUCAUUCACUUUUCUGAUGAAGCGAAUGUAACAGCGCCUACAAGUUGAAUUAUCGAACAAAAAGUUAAAAUCAAAUACUUCAUACUGCAAUCAACUAAGAGAAAUUAGGUACCUUCAUAGUUUAACAACAAAGUAUGUGCAAAAUUGCUAAACUAGAUUAAGUGAUGAGGAAAAUUUCACAUAAUAUGCAUGAAAUAGCCUUCUACCCAGAAAAGAAAGUAGACUCCAUAAGAAUCAACAAAUACGAUCAACAAGAUUCCCUCUAUAAGGAAUCCAGAUAAAAUGUCACGUAGCUCUUUCCAAUCAACAUCAACAAAACGAAAAUACACAGUGAUACAAGUAAAGAAAAAUUUUCUUGAUUUGCAGCGGGUGUCGAUGCGAUACUGUGCUGCGAAGGUUUUUAAUUUGCAGCAGGAAUAUCUACAUCGUGGAAGAGAGCUGUGAAUGUACUGAUUGUUUGCAAUUUGAACACAUUACCUACAAGUACUAAAAAAUGAUUGCUACAGAAAAUUGACUAGAUGAAAAGAAUUGCAUGUACCCAGAUAGGAGUCUUACCAAAGAGAAAUCUGAAGGCAAUUCAAUAAGCACCGGCUAAAUAUCUGCUUUGUGGCUUCGUCAUUGUUUACAGCCAUAUAUGCCUCCACAUACUGCUUCCAAUACUUGGCCUACAAAAUUCAGAUGCAAACCACAAGACGUCGUAUGAAAACUACCACAAACAUCGUUUCAAAACCUCAUUAUCCAAAUUGACAAAGUGGAAUGAUGUCAAAUACUUUAGAUAGGACGAUUAUAAUAUAAUUGCAAUUGAUUUAAUAAUUUUUUAUCAACUUUUUUAAAUUGUUAAUAGAUGAGGAGAAUGUCCAAGCGCAACUCCACUCACCGCGUGACUGUGAAUGAUUACUUAAGUUGGCCAAAAUUUUGAGCACAAUGGUGACCAAAAAUCUUUAGAAUAGGAUUCAUGAUAACCAAAGUCCACCAAAAAUCUACUCAUCCAGCUAAGCCCAACUUUUCGUGGCUGGAAAAGAUAGCAGGUCUUUCAUUGAAUCCAACCAGAUUUGAAAGUGAUUACAGUUUUACUUUUGUUUAACGGUUUUAAUCUUUGGAACAAUGCAAUUGCCCCGAAAAGCUUAGUUUCUUGUUAACAUAAAUAAGUUUUAUCUAUGACGAGCGGGGGCAUGUGCAGUUAUUCAUUUCAAGAUGCAAGAAUCAAACAAUGUCACCACAAAAAAAGUAACUUACAGCCGUCGGGAAGGUCGAAAGAAGCUUCUCAUAAAUCGGCGCCGCCUCAGAUAUCGGAAGAAGCUAAAAACAUAAACACAACUCAAUAAAUAGACAAAAAAUUAGAAAAUUUAGAAAAUUUUUUAAACGAAUAUACCAAAAUCCACUGAAAUGAAUAGGAAAUCACCAUAUGAUCAAAUUUAAAAAAAAAAAAAACAUUGAAAAAAUUUCUCACCAACGCUUCAUUUGCAAGAAUUUCAGCAGCUUCGACAUUAUAGAUAUCGGUAGUCCCGCCACUCCCACCCUUACAUUCAAAAUAAUAGCAUCAAAGUAUUGGAGAGAGAUAAACCCUAACCCUAGAAAUUAGAGGGCAAAAACAAAAGAGGGUUCCACGAUUACCUUUAACUCCUCGGCCAUUCGAUUGAUUCUUGAUGAAUCAACUCAAAAGCUUCGAUUUUCCUACCAAAUUUUUGGGAAAAAAGAGAUCGAAAAGCGCCAUGGAAGUAGGGGAAUGGUUAGAGAACCGAUUGAAGAAACGCUAGGAUUUUAAUUAGCCAUGGAUUGGAGAGAAUCCGCUGAUACGACGAGGGCUUUUUUUUUUUUAUAAUCAAUUUGUUUCUUUCCCUUCAGGAGAGAGUCGAAACUCCGGAAGAAAAAAAAUGCACUGAGAACCCUCCACUACAGAUAUUUCUGAAAGAACUACUCAACUCUGUUUUUUUUUNNNNNNUUUUUUUUUUUUUUUUUUAAAAAAAAAAACGCCGGAGAGAAAAAAUCAACUGAGAACCCGCAACUAUAGAGUUUUCUGUAAGCGCUCCUCAACUCUUUUUUUUUUUAAUUGAGAACCCUGUGUCCCUCUUCAAUAUCUAUUUUUUUAAUUUGAGCUUUUAUGCUUAAUUAAAUUAAAAAAUAUUAAAUUUUAUAAUUCUUUCGUUAUUAAUUGUUAGUUGAUCUAAUUUUAUUUAUUAAAAAUUAAUUGAAAUUAUUAUUGAUAAAUUUAAUUUUAAAAUCAUGGAUAAAUUUUGUUGAAAUUAUUAAUUCUUAAAAAUUAGAAGUAUUCAAUCAAAAAAAAUUUGAGGAGGCUAUUUCAAAAUGGUCGACAGUUGAGAGGUUGCGGAGAGUAGGGCCUUCAAAAUAAAAGCGUAAAGAAACUCAGUCCGAAGAGUUUUCAAAUUUUCUGAGCCUUGCAAAAAACAAUGAAAUCCGACAAUUUUAGACGACGCAUAGUUACCAAUACUUUACUAUUGCAUGUUGAGAAUCUAUUAAAAAGUUAUAUUCGCAUGUCCAAAGGGGUCGUUUAUUUUGACGGUUGGUAAUAUUUCAGAAAUACAGAUGAUUUGAUAUCUGGAAUGAAAAGAAUGUCAGGAUAUUAACCGAUUUGGAAGAAAAAAUUCUAAAAUGCAACGCUUAUAUUACUGAUAUGGUACCUCCAACAAAUCAAAAAGCGACGCUCGAAUUCACCCAUUCCAUCAUAGUAUUUAGAACAAUAUUUUUAUUGUAUUUUUCUCUCAAAAUGGGAGAUAUAAUUGACUGAGAAUAAAUGAUGUGGUGUAAGUAUUAUACAGUAAACUUCCUCUUUUGGGAGAGGGGCAGGGACUUUACCUUUUCUUAUUAAGAAAGCACUAAUUCACAUCCAAUAUGAGAAUAACAAGACCCCAUUAAAUUAUUCUCAAAAAAAAAAAAAAAAAAAAAAAAAAAACAAGACCCUUAAACCCAUAGACCUGUAAUGUGCCUACUAGUAAAAGAAUCUAAGAUUACAAAGUGUAGCAUGAGCCCAGGACUCCAAAAGGCUCACAAAAUUGUUCAGUACCAGCAGCAUCUGCGUAAUGAUAUUGUUUCUUUCAUGCCAUAUAUAGUCCACCAACAUCCUGCUAGUUGAGUUAAAGUUCGUAUACAGAGCUUGCCAUUCGGUCGUGCUUAGGAUUGUGAAAGUAUGCAUUUACUGUACUAGUGUGCUUACAGUUUAGAAAAGGUCAUCAAUGGCUUCAUGAUCUUCCUCACUACUUCUGAUCUUCUUCGGUAUUUCAUAUUAGAUAAAGAGAUAUCGAACAGCAUACCAGAAAGAAACUUAUAAAGGACUUGAGAUGAACAAAAAUGAAAUCAAACUAGGUUAGCAAGAACCCAGAAAGCAAAAUGGCUCAACAGAAUUCAAUUGAAACUUCGAUAUAGAACUGAUAAGAUAUGCAGCAAUUUUCAUUGGUAUCUACCAUUUACUUUGUUACUCCAAUAUUAGAUACACACAAACACAAUAAAAGAAACACCAAAAGUACUCAGACGACUGAUUAGAUAAGCUUAACUAUUUGCACUCCCUUAAAAAUCUCUUUACACUUCAAAUUUAAACCUUACCCCCAAUCUAAUCAGAAUUUAAUUCACAUUUAAAUAACUGCAAAUCAAACCAAAUUGAAAAAAAAAACAUACAUAAGCUACUCUUUCAGAACUGGUAGAUCUUUCAUAAGGAUUGUGCAUGUAAUUAAUUAGCCGCCUUAUGUGAUUAUGUCUGGUCCAAAUUCAGAACCCUCAUGUCAGCGAAAUCACCAGCUACUUUUACAUCAUUGUGUAGCGGCUGCUACUAUUUGUGGGGCUCUAUGCUGAUUUUUGGGAGUAACGGGCACCCGUCGAUAUCGAUAUACUCGAGAGCAGCGGGCAAUCUCUGCCUUUCUGACAACCCAACUUCUCGAAGCUCCGCUGAUCUCGAGGUCUCAGCAUGAUCAGUAGUUCUACCCUUCUCUUCUACGGCCAGACCUGCACGGUUAGAAGUUCUACCCUUUUCUUCUAUUGCCACCAAACAGCUUUCCAAACCAUCGAUCUUUUCGAGCUUCCCACAAUAACUGACACGAAGCUUCUUCAGCAUACCCAAGUCGUAGAGCGAGAGCGACGUAAUCUUCCUGCACUCUAAGAUGCUGAGUUCGUGGAGGCGGGGAAGAAUUUCUCUCUCUUUUCUACUGAAGCUCCAUUCCUCCCAUCGGUGCAUUCCCAUGAUAAGUAGACGUUGCAGAGACGGGAAGAUAACUCCCUUAUCGCCGAAAAACUCCUCCCCGAUUCGUGUGAUCUUGUUCAUUCCCAACAUCUCUAGCUCCCUAAGAGAAGGGAGUUGCCCGAGUGCCGGGAGGUACGCGCAAUUGUUGCAAUCCACUAACCUGACCUGAACCAAGUUUUCAAAUGAAAUAUCAACCAUCCAGCUAGGAAAUCGUGACCCCGCAUAUCUUUCAAUCUCGAGGGUUCUGAUGCUGAUAUGGGGGCGAAGGCUCUCGAGCACAUCCUCGUCAUCCUUAAAUUGCGACUCUUGUGAACUCCCCUCUUUGUUCUUGUCGAAAUCGUCGUAGUUCAAGUCCCAUCGGAAGAUCAAGUAUGUGAUGUGCUUCUUCUUAUUCAGCUCGGCUUUCUUGGCUUCGCCUAUCCGUUUGCCCCGAAUACACUGCAGGCCCGCGAUAACAAGUUCUCCUCGAAGAUCAUUCAAUUCCUUUAGUUCGUCGACCCCGGCCGACCCGCUCUCUCUGCUUGCCAAGAACAGCGGCAGUGUCUGAAGGGCAGACAACCGACCGAUGCCUGCCGGCAUUUUACUUAUGCUGAUCACCGGCCCAUCGAGCAUCUUGUAUAUAACGCCAUGCACUAGAUGGCGCAAGUUCGUUAACCGGCUUAUGUCGCUCGGAAGCUCAACUAGACGCUCGCAGUAUCGUAGGUCUAGUGUUUGCAAAUAACACAAAUUGCUUACCGAUCUCGGCAACCGCUUUAUAUCAGUGCAUGCGAGCCCAAGGUACCGCAAAUGCUUUAAGCCACCAAUCGAUUCGGGGAGUUCCGGUAUCUUGCAAAUACUUAAAUCUAGUACUCUCAAGUAUUGCAUAUGUGGUUUCUCAAACAGAUCUCUUUGGAAAUUUAGGACAAGUAGGAUUUCAUAAGCACCAAACUUCGGUACAUAACUAGUCCGAUUCCCCGACCAUAUCAAGAAUGACCUCAGGGCAUCGGGCUUGCAAUCUGGUUCUAAUGUCAAUUGGCUCAGCCUCGUUUCAACUCCGAUAGUAGCCGACAGAUGCCGAACGUAGCUGCUACUUGUAGUGCAGAAUCGGGUGCAGUUCGCGUCCGUUGAUGCUUCGAGUUCGGCAGUUACAGCUUCAGUUCCUAGGAUCGUUCUUGCGAGGUCGUGGAUGAGGUCGUGCACCGUGAAAUAGCACUCAUCUACGGCAAUAUGUUCUGCAUAUCGUUGAAACAGUGAUCUCUGCAUUAGGUCGAAGACAUAUUCGCGCCCCGUUUCUUCUAUUAGAGCUAAAUCGUCGACCUGGAUGAAACCUUGAGCUACCCACAUUCGGACGAGGCAAUCCAUCUCGAAUAGGUGGCCUUUGGGGAAGAGAGCACAGUAGGAGAAGCAUGGUUUGAGAGGAGCAGGGAGAUUUUUGUAGCUCAACCUGAGUUUUGUCAAGCAAAAACGAAUGUUGCUACAAAGUUAGUUCAACCAGAGCUGCAACAAUUUAACUACGAUCUCAAGUUUGACCCUCAAUUUUUGAUUCUUCUGAAAGUUUUAUCUCAGCUUCAGUUUCUCUUCAUAGUUGCAAUUAUAAUAUAAAGUGUAACAAUCCGAUUCCUAUGACACUAGUUUAACUUUUAAACAAGUAAAACAAGAAAAGGACUUACGAGAAUGUUGUAAGAUUAUAAUUUCUUAAAAUGACAGUAGAUGAACCUGAGAACACGGAGAACACUCUCCUCAGCCUCUUCGAAAUCCCACACGACGUUGUUCAGAACCUCAUCCCAGUAAUCCAAUCGGGUUUCUAAGUACAACAUCCCGGCGACCACCGCGACGACCAGCGGCACGCCCCUGCACUUGUCGACGAUGGCUCGGCCCGUCGCCGCCAGCUCGGGAGGCGGAUCACGGCCGCCGUCUCCGAACGCGCACCGGCAGAACAACUCCCAGCUGUGUCCCGUUGACAGCCCGCCGAGCUUGAUCAUAAGCUGCGCGCCGCCUGCAGCGACAGCGGCGACAGCUUCGUUCCGCGUGGUGAUCAGUACUGCACUGCCGUCUGCUCCCGCCGAUAACACCGAAUCGAGAAUUGCCGUCAGGCCAAUCCGCUCCGCAUCCCACACGUCGUCCAGCACGAGAAGAAACCUUUGUCGGGCGAUCAGCCGGUUCAGUGUAGUUAAAAGAUCAGACAUCUCCGUAAGAUCGCAUCGGCCGCCGCAGCUCGCGUUCUCGAUGAUUGCUUUCAACAGUGCUCUCUCGUCGCAAGACUGAGAGACCCAGACCCAGCACCUCAUUCCGAACUGCUUCUCCACUCUUCCGUCGUUGUAUACGAGCUUCGCGAGCGUGGUCUUACCCAUGCCGCCCAUGGCGACUAUAGAAACAACUUUUUUUUCGCCGCCGCCAUCGGCGAGCAUCGCGCUGAUAACUUUGCGCUUCUCUUCCUCUCGGCCGCAGAUUCGCGAGAGGUCCGCUGCCGCCGAGGUAGUCUGCCGCGGCAGGACGUGCGUCUCGGGUUUCGCGGGGCCGUCUUCCUCCCGUAACCGGAGGGCGGUGCGGUCUCUGUUGAUCCCGUCGAACCUUGCCAUCACCUCCUUUAUCCUCUUCAAGAUAUCUCGCGCGAACGACGCAUCGAGUACGGGAGGAGGAUGAGGAGGAAAAGAAAUUGCAUAAUCUUCUUGCUCUGUUCGUUCGUCUUGGCAGUGCUUGCGCUUGCGAGAGUUGCGGUCCGGCGGAGGGGAGCGGAGAAGGGCGUGGUCGAAGUCGGAGAGGAUGUCGUCGGCGUCGAAGGCGACCUGCCGGAGCUCGAGGAGCCAGAGCAUGACGGACUCUUCGCGGGUCUCCCGCUCCUCGGCGUCGGCCAGGAGGGCGCGGAUGCCGCGGAGGACUGCUCGGAGAUUUUGGAGCUCCGCGGCGACGGCUGCCGUCGCGGCGGCGGGAUUGCCGGCCCGGAAGGAGGAGGAGGAGGAGGCGGAGAGCAGUCUGGCCGUGAGGCUCGCGAGGGAGGUCAGCAGCGCGGCCGCCAUCGCCGGAGAUUUUCGGAUGAUGGCAGCAGUGUGGACUGCUGGAGGGGGNGAGGGGGGGGGGGAGGGGAAGGGGGAGGAGAUUUCCUGGGCAAGAGCUUUCUUGCGGGGGAGGAAGCUUCUUCGCAGAUCGAGAGUGGAAAGUGAGCGUUUCGGGCACUUUCAUGGCCACUGCUGUCACUGUUUAGUGGACCCGUUGCCAUACUUCAUUGAUUCCGAAAGAGAGAGAACGCCACUUUCGAAAAGAGAAAAAGCUUCUUUCUUUCCCAUGCUGCUUUACUGAUUCCGAUACACGCACACACAAAGAAUGGCCACCUAGAAAAGUAAUCGACAUUGUUUCAGCGGUUAAUUUGAUACAAAUUUUUACAAAUAUAAUAAAUUAUAAGAAUAAUUGCCUAUAUACCCUUCGUGCACCUGAAAAUAUCCAAUCUAUCCGUACUUUUUUUUUUCUUUCUAAAAUAUCCCUCAUAUGUUCCACCGUUAUUGCAAAAUACCCCCACAGUUAUCUUCUGUUAAAUUAACCUGAGUUAAACGUGAGUUAAAUAUCUAUCACAGUUAAAAAAAAUUAAAAUACCAAUUUUACCCUUAACUUAACGGCAAAUAAGAAAGGUUGGUUACGGUAGAGGGGUAUAUUGAAAAAGACAAAAAGUUGAAAUACUUUUUGUGCCCCUGACUUUAAGGGCAAAUAAAAAAGACAAUGAUGGUGGAAGGGUAUAUUUGAAAAGGACAAAAUAGUAUUUUUAUAGAGAUAACAAGUGUUACUUAACAGAUUUUAACUCUAAGGGUAUAUUAGAAAUAAAUUGGAACGUAGGAGGGGUAUUUUCAAUAUUAGCCUUCCAAGAGGAAUAAAUUGAAAAGUCGGAAACUUUUCAGGAGUAUAUAAGAAAUUGCCCCAUUAUUAUAAAUAUAUUCAUAUAAAAUUUAAUUUUUAUAUAUUAUUUUUAUAAAAGUCUUAAUAUUCUUAAACAUAUCUUUCUGAUUUGUUAUCGUUACUAUUUAUUUUAUAAAUGAAAUGACCUUUUAAGAUAAUAAAUAUGUUCUUUCAAAAAUCCCAACCAUUAAUUGAAGAAUAAAAAGGCCAAUUCACCUCAUUAACUAAUUAGGAUUAAAUAUUUUACUUACAAAUUCUAACGACAAGAAUAUAUUUGAAAAUAUUAGAACUUUUAUAGAGACAACAUAUGAAAAUUAAAUUUUAUAGAAAUAUAUUUAUAAUUUACUAUAUUUGUAGGGAAUUGUACGCAAUUAACUCUUGUUUGAGUGACCAGUAAUGCAUAGGCCUACGCCACCUAUAGGAGUAAUAAACUGUGUAAUAUAUGAAAAUUAUCUAAAAGCUAUUUAAUUUUUUUAUUUUUAAUUUUAUUAUCUUAUUUUUUAAUAUAUUUAAUAUAACUGAGUCAAUGCUGCUUUAUCUUUAAAAUCUAAAUGUAUUAUUUAUCUUAGAUUUAAUUAGUAUAUUUUGUAUAUUUCUCACAACUAUUAAUUCAUUAAAGAAAGUAAUAAGCUUAGAAAAUUUAUAGCCAAAGAGUAGUUGACAUUUUUAAGUUAAACAAAUGAAAGAUUAAACACUAAAAUUAAAUUUUUAAAAGAUUAGAUAGCCAAAUGUAAAUGACCUAUAAUUCAAAUAAGUUUUAAUUGAGAUCUCUUAGAUUUUAUUUUUAUUUUAACUACUGUUGUUAGUUUUGUUAUUUUUAUAAUAUCAAUAGAUAAGUCAAGCAACUAGCCAUCAAUCAUUUUAAUAUUAUUUACUAAAAUGAAUUAAAAUUAAUAAAUCUAAUAUAAUUUUUUAAUUUAUUUAACUAUGAUUAUUUGAUUUUUAAAAAAAUAAAGAGACAUAAAUUAGGCAAUAAAGUUGAGGACUGCAUUUAAAAAUAGCCCCUAGUUGUUUAGUUCUCCAUACAAUUUUUACUACAAUUCUUAUAUUUAACAAUAGUUUAAGUCAUUUUUUCAAAAAAUAAAUUUUAAAUUAAAUGUAGUUGGUUUGAUUGGAUGAAAUUACAAGCACUAGAAGCAUCCAAACCUGUAACAUCUUCUACAAGAAGCUUACGGUAGUCUUUUUGACUGAUUGUUCUAGAAUAAUUUGCCCAAAAAAUUACUCAGAGAAAUAAAAUUGCAUAUUUAUUCUUAUAAAAGUUUAGUUAUUAUGCAUAUCAUUCCAACAUAGCAUAGUUUAUAAAUAUAUUUCUCUUUGCCAGUUUCCUUCACUUUUUUAAAAACUGAACUCAAUUUAAAAUAUGAAGUAAUUAAAUUUCGAACUUGAAUUCUCAAGUAGCUUUUUUGAUCGGUUAAAUUUGAUCCUUUUUUUCUAUAAAAUGAUCAUUCUAACUUUAAAUAAAUAUCUCUAAUUUACAAGCAUAACUUCGUAAAUUAAAAUUUUGUACAGACCAUAUGAAAUUAUUCCAAAAAAUUAUUACCUGCACCGGGAGGAUCCCAAAACGAACGUAAAAUUUAUACUUGUAUAUAAAUAUACGAGUAGCAUUUUUCAAAAUUUCAAUCUGCGUAUCCUCUUAUCAUUCAUUUCAUCUUAUUGUUGAACUCAGAGGUGGCAACAGGUCAGAUACAAUCAGUUUCCAAUCAGGCUCACAUUAGAUAAUAACAUCUGCAUAAGUGAGCUACUUGACUCGAAAUUUACUCAGACCGAACAUUCAAAAUGUUUUGAUUCAAAAGUUAUUUAAAAUAUUGCGACUUUACUAUAUUAGUCAAUUUGUGAGAUUUAAUUAUAAUAAUUUUAAAUUUUAAUAAAAAUUAUAAUAAAUUAAAAUUUGAGGAUCAAAUGUCAGGGAGAUCCAUAUGUGUAAUUUACCCAAAAUAUUUGUACAAUGUGUCUAUACACCCGGUGCAAGCAAUAAAUAUCUUUACCCAUUCCUCUUCUUCUUCUGAACCAGUCGUCGUCCAUCCAACUACCCACUUCACCAACCCGUCGUCUCUUCGACUCCUCAAAAACCCCCUUUUCCACAACAACACACACUCUCUCUCUACGCGAUCGGAACCCUAACCCUAAUCUGCAUCUCCCCUUCUCCGAUCAUGGGGCUCUACGCGGCGCUCGCGGAGGCGAUCGACGCGUACACGGGCCUCUCCCCCGCCGCGUUCUCCACCAUCCUCGCCCUCAUGGUCGCCGCUUACUUCCUCGUUUCCUCCAUGUUCGUCCACCCCGACGCCCUCCCCGAGAAGCCCUCCUCCGCCUCCCACCCCGCCGCUCCGGCGACGGCGCCGCCGCCGCCGUACGUCCCGGCGGAGCCCGUCCAGGUCGGGGACAUCACGGCGGAGGAGCUCAGGGCUUAUGAUGGAUCCGAUCCCAAGAAGCCCCUGUUGAUGGCGAUCAAGGGCAACGUUUACGACGUGUCGCUGGGGAGGUGCGAUUUCUUUUGCUUUUGAUUUGAUUAAUGCGAUCGCUUUGCUCUAUUGAAGCUUUUAAGUAGGGAAUUUAGGUGUGUGUAAAACCAGUAUGUGAAUUUGUGAAUUGGUGAUGCUGGACUCGGUUAGAUAAAUGAAGAGAAAUAGUUUAAGGUAAUUGCAGUGCCAGCAUAGAAGAAUCAGAACUUAAUAAGUAUCAAUUUCACAAAAAUAUUAUGUAUGUAGUGUGAAAACUGAGAAUUAUGAAUAAUGAGAACAGUAGGUAUAAAGGAAAAGAAAUUGGUUUGUUUUUUAGAUAGUGAUAGUCCAAAAGAUAAUGACAAUAACAUAAGAGAAGAGGUAUUGGUGUAUGCCUUGCGAAUACCAAAUAGUGGUGGAUAGACCAUUGAAGAAAACCAGAUACUGUUGAAGUAAAUAUUUUGAGGAUUUGGGGAAUUGGUGGUUGAAAAUUUUGAGAUAUUUUGGUUUCACAGUUUUGAGAAAAACCUAGGGAAGUUCUUGAAAUAGAAGAGUAUGACCAAUAGAUAUAGUAAGGGGCAAAGCCGAUACACUUCAUCUCCAAUUGAGCUUUCGAAGAGGACAUGGAAGUCUAGGAAAGAAAAAGAGAUGCAGGUUUGAUGCUUAUCUUCAAUGUGAACCACCAAGUGGGAACUGAGGCUACAAAGAGUAACAAAGGAGUUGUUUAUAUUCAUGCUAGAGUUUUGAAGCUUGUAUUUUAUCCAGCAAACCUUUGGUAAAAGGGAGGAUGAAGAGGUGAAGUAUGAAAGCGUAACAACCACAUCCGUAAGUAAAUGUGUGUUUUGAUGAGAAGUCAAUGAAAAUUCAGUUGUUGAAGGCCUAUGACAUUUUUCUUUGCAUUGUUUUCUCGCCUUCUUUUUUUCUGAUUUCUCUUCUCCUGCUCAUCUCUUUCCACACUUUCAUCAUGCUAAGCCACGAUAUCCCUUUUAUCAUUGUUGGCUCAUGUUUAUGUCUCAUCAUUCUUAGGGAGUACAUUUGAAUGGUUUGCUACUUACAAGAACAAUGAAUAAUGAGAGUAGACAAUAUGUAUUUGUUGGUGAUGUGUUUUCAAAACAAUUACUAAUUCAUCACAAAGAGAUUUAUCGGGGUUGGAUAUUGCACCAGAAAAUCAAGCUAUAGUUGGCAGAGUUAUUACCUUCUCUGAUUGUAAAUGUAAACUCGAACUUCCUUUUUUUCACUACUUUUUACUUGUUCAUGAAACUUUAUCUACACCUUUAUGGUCCUUGACUUUUACUCAUCUCAUUGGAUGUGUUAGCCACCGUUGGCAUGCCAUUAUUUCCUGCAUCUUGAUUUACAUUAUGCUGUUUAUAUGGUGAUAUUGACCAUAAAAUAACUCCUUGCAGGUUGUUCUAUGGACCUGGUGGACCAUACGCCUUAUUUGCAGGAAAGGAAUGUAGCAGAGCCUUGGCUUUGUUGUCCUUCGAUCCGAGAGACAUUAAUGGAAACCUUGAAGGCUUAAACGAAGCUGAACUAGACGUUCUACAAGAUUGGGAGGAGAAAUUCAAGGAGAAGUAUGCUAAGGUGGGUCAGAUUGUUCAUGAACAUACGAAAGCUGGAUGUAAUGGAAGCAGCGAGCAAACGGAAAGUAAUGUAGACACUCAUCCAGAACCAAGUAAUACAAGUUAGAGAAGUUGACUAUAUUUGUAUCAGUUCAGAAUCUGAAGUGCAGUAUUUACUCCCUUGAUCCUGGGCAAACGAUACUAUGAUAGUGGUUGCGCAUGUUCACCGAGUUAUGUAAUUUUCCCUGAUAGUGCUCUUUUACUUGAAUCACAACCCUUUCUGUAGCAUUUUUUGGGCUAUAAAUUCUGUGAGCUAGCUCUAUAUAUUCUUCUUAAAUUACGUGCUAUUGUUCAUUUUACCCUGUAAUUCUUGACGAUAUAAUCGUAUCUGGUUGUGGUAUGUUAUGAUUGUCUGAAUUGGCAAAGUUCUACUUAGUGCUUUGCCUUGUUUGAAUUAUGACAAAUUAGGCUGCAUUGAUCAUUUUAGUAGUUAGUAACCUAGUACUCCAACCAUUCAAUUGCAUAGCAGGAUCAUAAGUUACAUGAUCCUUGGUUGAAGUUUGUAUGCAAGAAUACGUAGUGAUAUAUUGAUCGAGUCAUUAUGACGCACCACUAGGAGUUUGCACUUUAUAAACUAAAAUUUGGAAUAGAAGAUUGAUUCGGUUUUCAGUUUUGAACUAGAAACCAGAAACCAAGCAGAAGUUAAAAUAAGCCCCCAAUGCAUCACAACCACUCUUUGGCUUGAACAAAAGCCAGGGAUGAAUACUUUGUUUAAUACCCCUUUUUUUUUUUUAUCAAGUUUACUACAUAAAGAGAACAAUAAUCGCAUAGUAUAUGUGCCCUCGAAAUCAUUUUUCUUAGGAUCCAACAAAUCCAUAGGAAAUAGUUUCCGCUUAUUGGUGGCUUUUCAUUGCUCACGACUGUUACCAAGUUUAAUUAACUUUCAUCUUGCACAAGCUGUUAAUUGAGCUCUUGCAGGAAACAACAUAGGAAGAAUACAGAACUUAUUAGGCUAAAAGGUGAUCUUCCCAAUAAUACAAGUUUAAUGCAUCGCAGCAAUGAAUACUGGUGUAGGUAUAUCACUAAUUGUGCAUAUACACACAGGCCGGGACAGAAAACUAGAGCAAUUUGUCAAAAAAAGAAAAGAAAACAAGAGAACUGGAGCAAAGAAUAGGAAGAAGAAAACACAAAUUUCUGAGUACACUCAAGAUUCAUGAAGACUCUGCACGAUCAGUUUCAAUCACUGUAAAGUAAGUUAUCGAUGCCUUUGCUACUUUUCUUCUGUACUCAACCUUUUCGAUGGGCUGCGGUGCCGCCUUAAAAUUAUUUCUAUACACACAAUUUUUAUGCCUUAGCCAUCUUUCUUCUGUACCUUAACCUUUUCAAUGGACUCCAUUGCUUCCUCAAAUGAUUUCUGCACAACAAGAGAAAGCAUUUCGUCAUCACUUUGUUACGCUACGGGCUUACAAUGGCACAAAAAGAAGGGGGGAAAAAAGAGGGAGAAGAAGAGGGGGGUUUGAUCACAGGCAGAAGGCACGCCAAAAAAAUGCAGCAUAAUUCUUUCAGGCUGGCACAACCAAGACUGCCGCUUGUUCCUGAAGGUCUUUUCAGAAACAAAUAUCUUAAAUCUAGCCGAAGCUCAGCAACUAGUUGAGUUAGACAAGAGGACUCAGAAAACUGAACCAUUUCUAUUAAGUUCCUGGAGAAAAUAUCACAGGGAAAAGUGACAAUAUCAUCAUUGGCUCCAUUAUCAAAGAGGUCUGUAAAAAAUAAUGGGGUUUUCCUGCUACAGCACAGCUCACUCACGAAGGCUCAAAAAAAGAAUCACUAAUAGCUGACGGCUUGUCACACUAGUCUGGACAUAACAAAUUUUCUGUGAAAUAAUGGUAGACGGUCGAUAUAAUUGGUUGCCUUCUUUGUUGUAACUAGCCCCAUUUAGCGAUCUAAUCUAGAGAACAUGCCUUAAAAUUCCUAGCGAAAUGCCUCAGUAAAAUAGGUUCGAGGUGAUAUUUUAAUGGUUAGUAGCACUUGGGUUAUGCUGAGCUAUACUGGCUAGUCCCUGCCUAUUGGAACAACUGGCAGCAAUUCGUGGUCAGGGAGGAUAUUUUAUGCCAAAGAAUUACUUGAUAGGAAUAUUAUAAAUACAAGAAAGAAAUAUCUACUUUAUCAAAUUAGAUCUCCAAAACUUCACCAAAAUGAAUUUUAUUUUGCAUUCUCAAGGCCUAGACUCUAUAAGGCAUGACUUAGGAUCACAGCGGAAAAAAAUGAAAGAACUUAAAUAAAGAACUCAGUACUAAAGGGAGAUCCAAUGCGUACCCCAGAAUUGUUCAUUCGCCACAUUGCUUGAAGACAUUCUUCAAUAAUGACAGCUCCACCUAACAAAGCACUGUGGAAAGAUUUAUCAGCAAAAGGCUUUCAUGCUAUAUCAUUUGCUAGAUUUCUAUAAUAUCAUCAUUACAAAAUAUUCCUAGUAAGAAAUAUCAAUCUGAGAUACACAAAGGAAGAACCAGUUUUCAGUAGAAUUAACAGUAAAAAGAAAUGCAUGUCAGCCAACAACAUUCCUUCAUAGGAACUCUAUAUCUUCAUCCAAUAACAGUACCCUUCACUACAAGCAAAAUAACUAAGCACAAUCUUAAACCGGGUUGAUGAUAAAGACGAUGAUGCGGAAGAAAGACUCCUAUAUGGUGUCAAUGCCAAAUCCAAAAUCCACCACAAAUUAGGGAACCUCCAACAUAACCACAUGUCAAAUAUCAAGAGGAACACAACAACAGUUCCCUCGAAAGCAGCAGCACAUGUUCCAACAUACCUCAUUUUCAAGAAGAAGAACAACCUCGCAACAAAUAGAUGGCUCACUAACACUCCAUAUAAAGAAGUCAGGAAAUGUCAUGUGGUCUUUAAUCGAGCCCGAUAAAAUAUGAAAAGAAUUUAGAUUUUCAACCCAAAUCGCCCAGAUUCGAGCAAAGUCGCCGAACUGAGGCAGUUUCGGUCGAAUCACCAGCAUGCACUUGGUAAGACAAAUACAUUCUCAUCCUGUCAAAGUUGUUGACGCAAAAUUGGAACUCAAAACUACUACAACUCUCGAUAAAAGCUACACGAUUCAGAGCUCUAUGUCAAACAGAUAUAUGCAAAUUAAGCUACUUCUUCUUGGGUUAGAAUCGUGGGGGCACCAUUUUUUCCCAGUUCAACCACACAACAUAAUAAGAAGUAAAAUGAUGGGAUUUUUGGACCGAAUUACGCACCAAACUACGAAAAUAGAACAAAUAUAACUAAAAUUACCCUACAUCAACAUCAACUAUUCCAAAGGCAUUUGAAUUUAAAGGUGAAUUACCUCGCGAAACCAACAUUGAUGAGGAACCCCCGCCUCGUGAGCACCCGAAACACGAACUCCAUAUCAAACCCUAAUCCACCGCUGCCGCUCCCCGGGGGUCGACGGUAUCCCCCGCCACCUCCUCCAUAACCAUAACCAUAACCAUACUGAUUGCCCCCAUAAUAGUGGGACGACGAAGAAGACGACGACGAGGACGAAUACCCACCGUAGCCUCGCCGAUCGAAGGAUCCGGCGCCGCGCCACGCGCGAUCGUAGUCGGCGCGCAUCCGCUCAUCGAUCAGCACCUCGUACGCCUCCGAGGCUUGCUUGAAUCGGACGGAGGCGGCGUCUUUGACCUCCUCGGAGGCGUUGGAGUGGCGAUCGGGGUGGAAUCUGAGGGCCGAUCGGCGGAACGCCUCCUUGAUCUCCUCCUUGCUUGCGUCCCUCCGCAAUCCUAGGGUUUUGUAGUAGUCCAUCGUCGGCGACACCCAUGUGACGACGACGACGACGACUAGGGUUUUAAGUAUCAGCAGAGGAGGAGGAGGUAGGGUUUGGGGGUCGAGUAGGGUUUCGAGGGUGGAGGAGGAGCCAUUGAAAGGGAGAGGACGAGAGAAGGGCUUCGUUCAUUCUUUUCUCUCUCUCUCUCUCUCUCUCUCUCUCUCUCGGCUCUAUGGUUUGUGAGUUUGACGCGUGGUCGAUUCGCUCUCGCGGGUUUGAGAGGAGGGGUUAAGAAAAUAUAAAUAAAUAAAAUAAAUAAAUAACGGUAAAAACACACCAAACUUACGUACUAGUACUUCAUUUUGAAUAAAAUGGACUAUUUUUAAUUUUUAAAUUUUUUUAAUUUUUUAAUAAAAAUAAAUUAAUAAUAUUUUUAAAAUUUAAAAUUUAAAUUAAAAUUAAUAUAAUAUAUAUGAAUUAAAUUUAUAAAAAUAAAUGACGCAUUUAAUUUUUCAAAUCAAGAUGUGGCUGGCUUACUCAAACGGUGAUUAAAAAGAUUGGCUUAUGAGAUUAAAAUUUUGAAAAAUUGAAUAGGCGAUUUAAAAUGAUUAAUAGCUUAAACAAAUUUCAUACGUUUUUAUCAUAAUUAAAUAAAUAACUAAAUUGGUGGCAACCCCUGUUUAUCACUCAGCUAGCUUUAAAAUUUAUACUGUUUGCAUGAGAAAUGGUCGAUAGAGUAGUUUCAUUUUGUAAAUUUUAUUGGACUGUUAAAUUUAUUAUAAUUUCAACUUAAAGUUUUUUUAUUUGUUACAAUUACGUUCAGCAAUCUAUUUUAGUUGACUGAAUCCAAAUGUGUAGCUAAUAUAGUAAUAACAUAAUAUUUUAAUUAUUGUCAUGUCACUUACCAUCGAUAUUACUAUAUUAAUUGUAUAUUAUUAUUUAGUCAAUUUUAUCGGACUGCAAUAAAUAUUGAAUGAAAAAUAACAACAAAUUAAAAUUUAAUCAUCACAAUAUUAAGAGUCACAAAAUUUGAGCACCAUAAGUGGUGCACUGAGAAGGCACCAUAUGGUUAGUUAAGAUGUAGCUAAUGUGGUAGUAAUAUAAUGUUUUAGAUAUUAUCGUGUCACUAAUCACGAUAUUGCUACAACAGUAAUACAUUAUUAUUUUGUCAAUUUUAUUGGACUGUUAAACUUUAUUGUAGCAAUUCAAAUGUUGAGCGACAAAUAAUAAGCAAAUUAAAGUUUAAAGAUCAAAAUAUAAGGAGUCUCAAAAUUUGAACAGGGAAAGUGGUGCACCAAGAAUGGCACUACAUGGUUAGUUGACAUGCAAGUCGGAGCGAUUUUUGGUCUGAAUGCAUGAAUUAAGUUAAGCCAAUUUGCAUGAAAAAAUUCAUCGAUUUUGAGAUUUUACAAAAAUAGUCCGUCUUUUUGAAUUUUGCAAAUUCGAUUCGAAUUUUUAACUCAAAAGAAAGCCUAGUUUUGCAAAUCUCAAAACCAAUAGAUUUUUUAUGCAAAUUGGCCACUAAGUUGUGAAUACCAAUUAUUCAUCAAAAUUUUAAAAAAAAAGCCCAAUUUAAGUUCUAAAUGGAUCGAGUUAUUCUGGGCUUGGGUUCGUACAAACCCAAUACAACAAAUUUGUUAGUGGGCCAAAUUACGGUUGGGUUGAGAAUUGAGUCUAAACUUGUAAUUAAGAUUUGAUCCUGUGAGGAUUUUUUUUAAAAAAAAAUAGAAAGAACAUUUUGCAUAAAAAAUUCACUGAUUUUAUACUUUUACAAAAAUAGGUCACUUUUUGAAUUUUACAAAUUAAGUCUGAAUUUUUAGUAAACUAAACAGUUUUUUUUCUUCUUUCUUCGGUUUUUUUCACCGUCUCCAUCCUUUUCCCAUGUCACGGCCCCUCACUCACCCUCUGCUGCAACAACUGCAUUCCGAUGCACUCUCUCUUCCCAUAGUUCUCAAAUCCCGCGGUACCUCAGUCAUCGCCGUCGUCUAUGACCACACCAUUCACCAUAGCCUCAUCUCCGCGAUCAGUGCCAUAUCCGAGCCUGCAUCGCCAUUGCUGACGUCGGCGGAUGAGGGAGAAAAUUAGACCCAAACCAACCUCAUUGCCGGCUCCUCUACUCUCUUUUUUUCCGAUGUACAGAUAAUAUUUUUCUUAGUUAAAUAGUAUAAAACAUAGCUUAAAGAACUAACAUUAUAUAAGAAAAAGUAUAGAAUGCACCGGUUAUAUCGCUGACCAAUAGAAUUGCUCGUCCUGAAUUUUUUCUUAAGAAAAGAGAUAUGAUUAAUUUAUUACUGAUUAUAUGAUGCAAUUGUGGCGAUAUAAAUUUUCUCUGCUAUAUAAUGCAUUGUUAUUUACAGAUGCAAACAAAGCGGUUUCCAAUGGCACUUUAUCAUUUGUUUGUUUUUUAAUUCCAAAAUCAGCCUAAAAUGACUCACGAUUAGACCCAAAUCCAGCUGGGUACCUUCACCUCUGUUUUUUUUUUUUUUUUUUUGUGAUCUUUUUGAAUCAGUGAUUAUCUUUUCUUUGCAAAACGCCAAUGCUACUGCCACUGCCAUAGCCCCGGCAACCAAAAAGAGAAACACCGAGAAUCUAAAACAAAAGAUAGAAACCGGCCCCCAAAAAGAAGACAAAAACUCCAGGUCUAAUCACACCAUCCACGGCCUCAGCCUAAUCCCGGAGAGGACACGUGGCGCUUUACAUGCCCAUCACGUCUCCCGCAAAUAAGCCGAACGAAAAUAAAAAGAUAAACUUCAAAUAUCAUCAUAUUCGCAUAUCAUUUUAUCAUUCUGCAUUUUUGUUAAAUAAUAUACAAAAAAUAUUACAGACACACCACUUACAGUUUAUUGGAUAUUCAUUUUAGUAGUCUAUAAUUUAUCAAAAAUUUAUUUUAAUAUUCUUUAGUUUUAAAAAUGAAAAAAUUAAUAGAGGAGAUAAUAGAAAGAGGGAAACGAAAUUAAAGGAUACAAAAGUGAUACAUUUUAAAAAAUAAAAAGAGCAUUUACUUAUAUACCACUUUAUUAUUUACCACUCUUAAAAGUAUAAUAUUAAAAUACUCUUUUAAAGUUCCAAAGUCUUCCAAAUAUACUCCUAUAGUUGAAUUCUGUUAAUGAACUGUUACGAACAAUCGUUAUUUCUAUAGAAUGAUCAUUUUAUCAUUUCAAAUAUACCAUUAGUCAUCUAUUGUCGUUAAUUUUUCUUAUUUGUUCUUAAAUUAGAGAUAAAAUAGAUAUUUUUCACUACUUUUAACUAUCGGAAAAAUUUAACUUAGUUUUAACCCAAAAUGAAUUAACGGGCACUAAUAGCAAGGAUAUUUUUGAAUAACGAAGAAAUAUAUGAUGUGUAUAUUUGAAACAAAAAAUAAAUAAAUCAAAUAUUUCAGAAAUUUUUAGGAACAUAUAGGCAAUUAUUUUAAAAAUGAAAAAAACAUAAAUUGCCACUACUAGUGCCUGAAAUUCCAAUUCAGGUUUAUAUAUAUAUAUAUAUAUAUAUAUGUAUAUAUAUAUAUAUAUAUAUAUAUAUAUAUAUAUAUNAAAAAUUUUAUUACAUAAUUGACUUAAUAAAAUUUUAAAUGCAAAAUUUAUUCCUUACCGUCCACGUGGAUGCUACAUAGUACAAGAGAGGAUCAGCUAAAUAAUUUACAAAAAUACAGUAAACUAUUUAUCAUCUUUAGUUAAUACAUUGAACACAAUAAAUUAUUCAUUGUGAUUUAUCAUGCUCACGCGAUAAUAUUCAAGUACAAUUCUUCAUCUUCGCAAAGUUUUGAAAAAAUACGACAAAUUGUUUAUCAUGCUUACCCAAAAUACUUUUCUAAUCAUCUUUUAGCGCGGGUCAACGUGGCAUUAUUUUCGUAAUUUAAAUUUGAUUAGGAUUUUAUUUUAAACAAGUACUUUUGAGAGAGCCAAAUGAAAAAGAAUCUCUCCAGUGUAGUAUAAUUUGAGUCUUCUAACUUAUGAUUUUUUUUACAAUUGAUGCCCUAAAUUUUGAAUAAGGCUUUAUUUAAUUUUUUUUAAUUUUUUGAACAACUUUUUAUUUUUCUCUUUGAUUAUUCUGUCUUACAUUAGGGGUGUCAACGAGCCGAACACGAGCGAGCUGGGGCGGCUCGUGUUCGGCUCGUUAAAGUAUCGAGUCGAAAAAUUUAGCUCAUGUUCGGCUCGUUAAUAAACGAGCCAAACACGAGCUGGCUCACGAGCUAAUCAACGAACAAUAAGUUAAGAGAAUUAGAUUGAAUAUAUAUAAAAAAUAAAAUUUAUAAAAUCGUAUCCAUUAGAUUUUGAUCAAGUGGUUGAAACUUAUAUAUAAAUAAGUUUUUUUAUAAUUGAGUUUGAUUUUAUAUUUUUAUUUUGCUAAAAAUAAAAUAAUAAAAAUAUAUAUUACAUAUAUAAUUAUUUAUUUAUAUAUAUAUAUAUAAAUUAAAUAAAUUAUGUAAAUAUAAAAUAUAUGUAUUCGAACUGUUAUCGAGCCAAAUACGAGCGAGCUGACUCUAACUCGUGUUCGCCUCGUUUGUUAAAUAAGCUGAAAAAUUCAACUCGUAUUAUUUGGCUCGUUUACUAAACGCGCUACAACAAAAAAGGAGAAUCAACAACAUUUACUUAACAACAUUUAUCCAAAUAACGCUAAUUAUCUUAUUUAGCAACAUAGUUGGAAAAGUGUUGGUAAAAUGCAUCUAUUUAGCAACACUUCAAACUACUGUUGCUGAAGAAAAGUUUUAGUAGCAUUUAUUUUUAUAUCCUACAACACUUGCUUGCAUUGUGAAGUUAAAACUAUUAAAGCAUUAUCAAUAUUUUGUUUGAAAAUUAAUUCCCUCCAUAUAUAUAUUUGUAUAGCUUCCUCCAAUAUUUGUAAACUAGGUUUUUAGUUUUUUAUAAAGUAGAAAAAAAGAGUUAAAAUAUUAUCCAACUACAUAAGGAGACAGCACAAUCCUUAGCCAAAUUCCGCCUUGCCAACCGUGCCCGGUGUCCUUGUCCUCACCGACUGACAAACACUUUUUUUUUUUUUUCUUUUUCGAGAGAUACAUAAUUCAUCAAGUUGUCAAUUAAGAAUAAACUUAACUGGAAAAUGUGAAUCAAUUAGGAUUCGAACUUAGGUCUCGGAUAUCAACCACCAAGCCCACUUGCUCUAGAGACGGUUGGUCAUCGACUAACAAAUGCCA